Molecule: ribosomal RNA, 826 nt
Filed under: Salmonella enterica subsp. enterica serovar Kentucky
Lineage: Bacteria; Pseudomonadati; Pseudomonadota; Gammaproteobacteria; Enterobacterales; Enterobacteriaceae
Description: partial 23S ribosomal RNA
Rfam family: Bacterial large subunit ribosomal RNA
Source: RNAcentral
GGGUUGUGAGGUUAAGCGACUAAGCGUACACGGUGGAUGCCCUGGCAGUCAGAGGCGAUGAAGGACGUGCUAAUCUGCGAUAAGCGCCGGUAAGGUGAUAUGAACCGUUAUAACCGGCGAUUUCCGAAUGGGGAAACCCAGUGUGACUCGUCACACUAUCAUUAACUGAAUCCAUAGGUUAAUGAGGCGAACCGGGGGAACUGAAACAUCUAAGUACCCCGAGGAAAAGAAAUCAACCGAGAUUCCCCCAGUAGCGGCGAGCGAACGGGGAGGAGCCCAGAGCCUGAAUCAGCAUGUGUGUUAGUGGAAGCGUCUGGAAAGGCGCGCGAUACAGGGUGACAGCCCCGUACACAAAAGCGCAUGUGUUGUGAGCUCGAUGAGUAGGGCGGGACACGUGGUAUCCUGUCUGAAUAUGGGGGGACCAUCCUCCAAGGCUAAAUACUCCUGACUGACCGAUAGUGAACCAGUACCGUGAGGGAAAGGCGAAAAGAACCCCGGCGAGGGGAGUGAAAAAGAACCUGAAACCGUGUACGUACAAGCAGUGGGAGCCCCACCACUAAGCCAGUGGUGAACUCCACAUACGCAUCCUUUGCUGAAGGUGCGGUUAACGGAGCGCAAGCGACGUUCAACCUCAAAAGAAGCAGAGGGGGCUUAGUGGUGGGGUGACUGCGUACCUUUUGUAUAAUGGGUCAGCGACUUAUAUUCUGUAGCAAGGUUAACCGCAUAGGGGAGCCGGAGGGAAACCGAGUCUUAAUUGGGCGUUAAGUUGCAGGGUAUAGACCCGAAACCCGGUGAUCUAGCCAUGGGCAGGUUGAAGGUUGGGUAA